ACUGUAGCAACUGGUUGCUAAGGGAACGAGACACCACCAUUAUCCUCUUGUUGUGUGACUGAGAGGCGGGAUUGGAAAAGUGCACGAGGAGGGGUGGGAAGCGGAGACUGAGCGUGGUUGAAAUUCCACCAAAUGGAUAAGAGGCAGACAAAGUUUGACACGUUUAUGUUUUCAGUGGUUGGCCGACACGUAUGAACGAGUAAACGCUGCUUUUAGCCUAGUGGAAGUAUCACAAAUGAAUACCUCCGUAUUAUUUAUUCACUGCACUGAAUCUCCACGAGGGCACAAGUCCGCCUGACAAUUUUUGAGUAAAGAGAGGCAGCGCGGGAGAGCUCACUUGUAGCCUGGCAGACAUGCAUGACCAAGGAAGAUAGGCGACAUAAACAGGUAAACAUAGAGAAAUAAGGCGCAAGGUAACAACACCCACCCGUAGCAAGGUAGACAGAGGAAGAGAAUUAACAGUGAGAGGGUAAGAAUUGGAGAGUACGCUCUGUGAUGGAAAUGCCAGAACACAUCUGCUCCGGACCGACGCCUAGUUUGAUGUAAGGAAGUAGCCUCCUCGAUUGCCUCUCCAGUGUGAGGGAGAUGAGGCCAAACCCGGGGCAUUGUAUGUGAUCAGACCUAUUGAAGGGGUUCGUGUAUGGAUAUCACUGGGGUCAGGGCCUGUUCCAGAGGGAGCCGUAUAUCCUCCGCCUCGGGCUCGUCAGAGUCGUGAAAGAAGAAAAAGGUUUCUGCUAGCCUGUGCCGCCAGCAGCGUCACUAUCCCUCUACCUAACACACUGAGUUGACCUCCUCAGUGCUUGUGUGACGGGUGGUGAGGGUGAAGAAGGAGGGAGAGUUUAUCAGUGACCCAACUUCGCCCAAGAUGGAUGAGGAUUUCCUGAGCAGUACCCUGACUGCCUCUGAAUCAGACCUGUCCUCAACCUCUUUUUUGACAUUGGAGGCGAAGGCAGCCUUCAUCUUUGUCCUCAUCCUUUUCCUCGUCUUGGGCCUCCUGAUCAUACGCUGCUUCCGUAUCUUGCUCGACCCUUACCGCAGCAUGCCCUCCUCUACCUGGACUGACUACAUGGAGAAGGACACCUUUGAUUACCGUAUUGCCUGAGGGGCCUUCCUUAUCAAAGGCUGCUGUACUGCAUCGCCUGAGGUGCUGGUGACCAGAGCUGCUGCAUUGCCAAAGAAGCAUCAAAGAUAACUAUCUAAGAGUUUCCACGUGUCCGGAUUCAGCGCAUUGAAACACAUCUUCUGAUUCCUGAGUGUUAUCUUGAGAUACGGGCUGACUAUAGAAUUGCCUGAGGACUCCUACUCUGAGGCAGGAACAAUGGCAGUGGGAGGUUCUUCACCUUGGCCACAAGGGGAUCACAGUGUUUCCUGAGCCCUUAAACAUUUCCAAGAUACUGCAAUGCCAGAGGGGUCCUUCACUGGUGCUACGAGGGAAGCUGUUGUUUUGCCCAAGGGACAGGCUAUUAUAAUAACUGAAAUAGAAAAGCUGUUUUUCUCUUGAAGGAACAGGGAGAGCCUGUCCUCUCCUGCAGCAAGUGAUAUAACUACUCCAGUGACUGAGCACAGCUUGAUCACAUCACCUCCUAAACCUGACCUGGCAUGCUAAGAAGACCACCUUUUUGUACACAGCCCUUUCUGAUUUAUGUUCUAAAAUGUUGGUUUUGGUAAAGAGAGAGAUCUUUAAAGCUGUAAUUCUAUGGCCUAGGUUUUAGGUUACUGUACUUAGUCAGUCAGUAACACACACACACACACACACACAGUCAUACAGGCCCCCUGUACAAACACACUACACAAACUAUUCUCCUACACAAAGACACCCACACAGACUCGCAACACUCAUGCACUCUAUGCUCAUAUAUACUCAGAAACAUGCAAAGACCUACAAUGACCAUCACACUUUGUCCAAUAUCACACCCCAGGAGCCUUUCGACAAACGUGGGUUUAUUCUGGCCACGUCAGGGGAACGAGUGCAGCACUUUUCUCUCUGUGACAAGGGGUGGGAGUGUGUGUCGUUAUCUCACAAAUUAGCCUGCAGUUGUCCUUUUUCUGGGAGUGCAUUUCAGUUCAGCCACUGACGAUGACUCUUAUUACUCUGGCUGUCACUGACAGUGCAGUGACAAGCCUGAAGAAAAUGAUUUCCACGUCAUCUCAACAAAAUAAUUCAAUGUGAUGACGUUGAAUCAGAGUGGGAAACUGGUUGAAUUUGCAAACAGUAAUCAAUGUGAGGGAAUUUCUGCCUAAAUCCAAUGACAGUGAUUUUUUUGUUGUUGAUUUCACGUUGAAUUCACAUUAGUUGACAACUCCACUAAACGUAAAUCAAAACUAGACGUUGAACUGACAUCUGUGCCCAGUGGGGCAACAAUUCACUGAAACAUGGCUAUUACUACUACACAGAUGUAGAAUCUUAAUUUGAUCAGUCUUUUGUUGCUGAGAAUUGACAAGCACAGCAGGAAAUGCAACCAUUUAGUAUAUUUGAGGUUUAAAAAGGCUUCUAUAAUUUGUUUCCAUUUAGACAUUUCUAACUUGAUUUAUUCAAAAAAUGUGUUUUAUCAACCUUUACAAAAAUGUCCAUUAAUUAUAAUCCACAUAAUAAUUCACAAUGUCCUGUUGCUGGAGGAUGAUUUUCCUGCUGUAGCAAACUGACUAAAAUUAAGAUCCUACAUAUGUAGCACACGGCUCCUGAAAGUUCUGAAUCCUAACUUGAAAUAAAUUUGCGUAACUCAUAGUUUCUGAACUGGGGACCUAUCUCAAUCGACUGAGAGUCAUGUAAGCAGGUGGCAUUAUUGGUGCUGUAUACCGGCACAGAUGUUCACCGAAUGCAGACUUUCUCUGUUUCUAAUCCCUUUAAUGCCGAUUUUCACCGCUCUUAGUCUGUCUCCUCCUCUUUGUUAGCUCUUUGCCUUACAUAAAGCUUGUUUACAUUUGACAAACUGGUGGUGGAACAGCCUGGGAGCCUAUAGCGUCAUAAGACAUGUAUUACC
Molecule: long non-coding RNA, 2981 nt
Organism: Oncorhynchus kisutch (coho salmon)
Lineage: Eukaryota; Metazoa; Chordata; Actinopteri; Salmoniformes; Salmonidae
Exons: 4
Source: RefSeq, a predicted model, not a curated record